UGACACUUGCUUUGGCCUCCUCUUGAGGAUUUCGUAGAAAUGUGACGUUGCAUUGUCGUUAAACAGAUUCAUUGCUCGCACUGCUACAGACUUAUACGGGUGGUGUUUUUCUACAAGAUUUUGCGCUGUUUCCCACAUUUCACACAUCUCCCUGAUCUCAUUUGAAGUGAGGGAUUCCUCUACCUUUUUCUCCUCCUCCUCUGCAGAUGACAUCUCCAUUGGUUUGUCGGUGGCCAGCUCCUGCCUAUCUUCCUCCACCAGCUCUUGAAUGUCGUCCUCAUUCACCUCCAGUCCCAUGGUCUUCCCCAAAGACACAAUUUCAUUGACAACGGGUGGCUCGUGUUCAUGGCAAGCCCCUCUAAGAAGGCAAGAACACAAUCAGGCCACAGUUUUCUCCAAGCAGAGUUGAAGAUCCUCUUUCUUGGUAACCCCAUCCCAGGCUUCAUCGAUGAUCUUGAGGCAGUUUGUGAUGUGGAAAUGAUUUUCCCAAAACUCUUGGAAGGGCCGAAGACCUCAUUGAUCCACUCAACGAACAAGAUAUAAGUGACCCAAGCCUUGCUGUUGGACCUCCACAGACCGUUUAACUGGCUCUUCUGCACCUUGCAUUUCCUGAAGGCUCAUGGAUUCUUGGAAUGAUACAGGAGCAGGGGCUAGACUUUGAAAUCCCUGCUUGCCUUAGCACAAACAGGAGGGUAACAUUCAGAAACUAUGAGCUUCUGGAACUUGAUAGCGAAUGCCUCAGCUGCCUUAGCGUCCAAACUCGCACCCUCUCGGUGCCUCACAACACUAUGGAGGCCACUUCUCUUAAAGUUAUCAAACCAUCCCCUGCUUGCCUUGAAGACUUCUUCGUUUUCUGUUGACGCACCUGGUAGUUUAUUUACGAGGUCAGCACACAAGGCCUUUGCCUUCUCGCAAGUAAAGUUCUCGGUCACAGUAUCACCUCCUAGUUGCUUCUCCUUUAUCCAAACCAGAAGCAACUUUGCUACAUCUUCCAGAACACGUGGCCAUUGCUUUGAUAUUCUCAUGACUCCUUUUGCUGUAUCUAGGCCCCUUAUUUCUUCUCUUCUUUAAUAUUGUGCAAAUG
This is a long non-coding RNA of Leopardus geoffroyi (Geoffroy's cat), 1084 nucleotides long. RefSeq lists it as uncharacterized. The record is from RefSeq and is a predicted model, not a curated record. The transcript has 3 exons. Lineage: Eukaryota; Metazoa; Chordata; Mammalia; Carnivora; Felidae.